CGGACGGGUGAGUAACGCGUGGAAAACCUGCCGUAUACUGGGGGAUAACACUUAGAAAUAGGUGCUAAUACCGCAUAAGCGCACAGCUUCGCAUGAAGCGGUGUGAAAAACUCUGGUGGUAUACGAUGGUUCCGCGUCUGAUUAGCUAGUUGGUGGGGUAAUGGCCUACCAAGGCAACGAUCAGUAGCCGGCCUGAGAGGGUGAACGGCCACAUUGGGACUGAGACACGGCCCAAAUCCUACGGAAGGCAGCAG
This 254-nucleotide ribosomal RNA is filed under the name uncultured bacterium. Its description in RNAcentral is "partial 16S ribosomal RNA". It matches the Rfam family "Bacterial small subunit ribosomal RNA", at positions 99 to 354 of the family's 1533-position model. The record is from RNAcentral.